This 90-nucleotide non-coding RNA is filed under the name human gut metagenome. RNAcentral's name for it is "THF riboswitch". It matches the Rfam family "THF (Tetrahydrofolate) riboswitch aptamer". From Rfam's summary of the family: THF riboswitch presents a pseudoknot that joins P1-P2 and the loop of P3 and two THF binding. The record is from RNAcentral.
AGAGUAGCCUUAGCGCGUAAAGUGUCACCGAACGGGACGUUGUCGGUGGACGAAAGGGGUAAUCCCUGCGGUGCGAAGGCGCGUCCGCUA